Non-coding RNA from Phrynosoma platyrhinos (Desert horned lizard), 72 nucleotides. The record is from the annotation of a GenBank genome assembly. Lineage: Eukaryota; Metazoa; Chordata; Lepidosauria; Squamata; Phrynosomatidae.
GCCACCAUAGUGCAGUGGUUUGAGUGUUGGACUAGAAAUCUGGGAGACCAGGGUUCGAAUCCCCAUUUGGCC